UGAAUACGAGAUGCUACGGCAUUGAAGCAGUCUAUGUCAGACUUCCAAGAAAAGCUCGGAAUGUCAUAAACAAUAAAUGCCUGUACCAUAACCGACACAGGUGGGUAGGUAGAGUAUACUAAGGGGCGCGAGAUAACUCUCUCUAAGGAACUCGGCAAAAUGACUCCGUAACUUCGGGAGAAGGAGUGCCUUAUUUAUAAGGUUGCAAUAACAAGAUCCAAGCAACUGUUUAUCAAAAACACAGGUCUCCGCGAAGUCGUAAGACGAUGUAUGGGGGCUGACGCCUGCCCAGUGCCAGAAGGUUAAAGAAGUUGGUUAGCCUAGCGAAGCUGAUGACUGAAGCCCUGGUGAACGGCGGCCGUAACAAUAACGGUCCUAAGGUAGCGAAAAUCCUUGUCGGGUAAGUUCCGACCCGCACGAAAGGCGUAAUGAUUUGGAUGCUGUCUCGGAGAGGGGCUCGGUGAAAUAGACUUGUCUGUGAAGAUGCGGACUACCUGCACCUGGACAGAAAGACCCUAUGAAGCUUUACUGUAACUUGAGAUUGAAAUUGGACUUUAUUUGCGCAGUAUAGGUGGGAGACGUUGAGAAUAGUCUUGCGGGACUAUUGGAGUCAUCAGUGAGAUACCACUCUUGUAAUGUUAGAUUUCUAACUUUGUAUCAUUAUCUGGUCAAAGGACAGUUUCAGGCGGGCAGUUUGACUGGGGCGGUCGCCUCCUAAAGGGUAACGGAGGCGCACAAAGGUUUCCUCUGAACGUGUAGAAAUCGUAUCUAGAGUGUAAAGGCAUAAGGAAGCUUGACUGUGAGACCUACAAGUCGAGCAGGGACGAAAGUCGGUCUUAGUGAUCUGACGGUGCUGAGUGGAAAGGCCGUCACUCAACGGAUAAAAGUUACCCUAAGGAUAACAGGCUGAUCUCCCCCAAGAGUUCACAUCGACGGGGAGGUUUGGCACCUCGAUGUCGGCUCAUCGCAUCCUGGGGCGGUAGUACGUCCCAAGGGUUGGGCUGUUCGCCCAUGAAAGCGGUACGCGAGCUGGGUUCAGAACGUCGUGAGACAGUUCGGUCCAUAUCCGGUGUAGGCGUUAGAAUAUUGAGAGGAGCCUUCUUUAGUACGAGAGGACCGAGAAGGACAUACCUCUGGUGUACCAGUUAUCCUGCCAAGGGUAAACGCUGGGUAGCUAUGUAUGGAGUGGAUAACCGCUGAAAGCAUCUAAGUGGGAAGCCCACCUCAAGAUAAGUAUUCCC
This 1241-nucleotide ribosomal RNA is filed under the name metagenome. RNAcentral describes it as "bacterial LSU rRNA". It matches the Rfam family "Bacterial large subunit ribosomal RNA", at positions 1564 to 2815 of the family's 2925-position model. The record is from RNAcentral.